Molecule: ribosomal RNA, 429 nt
Filed under: Bacteroidota bacterium
Lineage: Bacteria; Pseudomonadati; Bacteroidota
Description: Bacteroidetes bacterium partial 16S ribosomal RNA
Rfam family: Bacterial small subunit ribosomal RNA
Source: RNAcentral
UAGGGAAUCUUCCGCAAUGGGCGAAAGCCUGACGGAGCAACGCCGCGUGAGUGAUGAAGGUCUUCGGAUCGUAAAACUCUGUUAUUAGGGAAGAACAAAUGUGUAAGUAACUAUGCACAUCUUGACGGUAUCUAACCAGAAAGCCACGGCUAACUACGUGCCAGCAGCCGCGGUAAUACGUAGGUGGCAAGCGUUGUCCGGAUUUAUUGGGCGUAAAGCGAGCGCAGGCGGUCAAUUAAGUCUGAUGUGAAAGCCCCCGGCUCAACCGGGGAGGGUCAUUGGAAACUGGUUGACUUGAGUGCAGAAGAGGAGAGUGGAAUUCCAUGUGUAGCGGUGAAAUGCGUAGAUAUAUGGAGGAACACCAGUGGCGAAGGCGACUCUCUGGUCUGUAACUGAAGCUGAGGCUCGAAAGCGUGGGUAGCAAACAGG